RNAcentral lists this ribosomal RNA (466 nucleotides) under uncultured bacterium. RNAcentral's name for it is "partial 16S ribosomal RNA". It matches the Rfam family "Bacterial small subunit ribosomal RNA", at positions 28 to 507 of the family's 1533-position model. The record is from RNAcentral.
GACGAACGCUGGCGGCGCGCCUAACACAUGCAAGUCGAACGAGCGAGCGAGAGCUUGCUUUCUUGAGCGAGUGGCGAACGGGUGAGUAACGCGUGAGGAACCUGCCUCAAAGAGGGGGACAACAGUUGGAAACGACUGCUAAUGCCGCAUAAGCCCACGACCCGGCAUCGGGGUGAGGGAAAAGGGGCAGUCCGGUUUGGGAUGGCCUCGCGUCCGAUUAGCUAGUUGGUGAGGUCACGGCCCACCAAGGCGACGAUCGGUAGCCGGACUGAGAGGUUGACCGGCCGCAUUUGGACUGCGACACGGCCCAGAAUGCUACGGGAGGCUGCAGUGGGGAAUAUUACGCGAGGGGGGAAAACCUGAUGCAGCGACGCCGCGUGGAGGAAGAAGGUCUUCGGAUUGUAAAUUCCUGUUGUUGAGGAAGAUAAUGACGGUACUCAACAAAGAAGUGACGGCUAACUACGUG